RNAcentral lists this ribosomal RNA (1269 nucleotides) under Campylobacter coli. Its description in RNAcentral is "partial 23S ribosomal RNA". It matches the Rfam family "Bacterial large subunit ribosomal RNA", at positions 465 to 1599 of the family's 2925-position model. Lineage: Bacteria; Pseudomonadati; Campylobacterota; Epsilonproteobacteria; Campylobacterales; Campylobacteraceae. The record is from RNAcentral.
CCUAAAUACUAAUACCAGAUCGAUAGUGCACAAGUACCGUGAGGGAAAGGUGAAAAGAACUGAGGUGAUCAGAGUGAAAUAGAACCUGAAACCAUUUGCUUACAAUCAUUCAGAGCCCUAUGUAGCAAUACAGGGUGAUGGACUGCCUUUUGCAUAAUGAGCCUGCGAGUUGUGGUGUCUGGCAAGGUUAAGCAAACGCGAAGCCGUAGCGAAAGCGAGUCUGAAUAGGGCGCUUAGUCAGAUGCUGCAGACCCGAAACGAAGUGAUCUAUCCAUGAGCAAGUUGAAGCUAGUGUAAGAACUAGUGGAGGACUGAACCCAUAGGCGUUGAAAAGCCCCGGGAUGACUUGUGGAUAGGGGUGAAAGGCCAAUCAAACUUCGUGAUAGCUGGUUCUCUCCGAAAUAUAUUUAGGUAUAGCGUUGUGUCGUAAUAUAAGGGGGUAGAGCACUGAAUGGGCUAGGGCAUACACCAAUGUACCAAACCCUAUCAAACUCCGAAUACCUUAUAUGUAAUCACAGCAGUCAGGCGGCGAGUGAUAAAAUCCGUCGUCAAGAGGGAAACAACCCAGACUACCAGCUAAGGUCCCUAAAUCUUACUUAAGUGGAAAACGAUGUGAAGUUACUUAAACAACCAGGAGGUUGGCUUAGAAGCAGCCAUCCUUUAAAGAAAGCGUAAUAGCUCACUGGUCUAGUGAUUUUGCGCGGAAAAUAUAACGGGGCUAAAGUAAGUACCGAAGCUGUAGACUUGCGCACAACUUAGAUUAUUUAAGUUUAGAAUAUGAGAAACUAAGUUAUAUGUUUAGUUAUAUUUUUACUGAUUUUUAUAGAGUAAAGAUAGAAAUAAAACUUAGUAAAAUCAGUAAAAAUAUUCUUAGACUAAAGUUAAGUAGUUUAAGUUGUGUGCAAGUGGUAGGAGAGCGUUCUAUUUGCGUCGAAGGUAUACCGGUAAGGAGUGCUGGAGCGAAUAGAAGUGAGCAUGCAGGCAUGAGUAGCGAUAAUUAAUGUGAGAAUCAUUAACGCCGUAAACCCAAGGUUUCCUACGCGAUGCUCGUCAUCGUAGGGUUAGUCGGGUCCUAAGUCGAGUCCGAAAGGGGUAGACGAUGGCAAAUUGGUUAAUAUUCCAAUACCAACAUUAGUGUGCGAUGGAAGGACGCUUAGGGCUAAGGGGGCUAGCGGAUGGAAGUGCUAGUCUAAGGUCGUAGGAGGUUAUACAGGCAAAUCCGUAUAACAAUACUCCGAGAACUGAAAGGCUUUUUGAAGUCUUCGGAUG